Molecule: ribosomal RNA, 468 nt
Filed under: uncultured bacterium
Lineage: Bacteria
Description: partial 16S ribosomal RNA
Rfam family: Bacterial small subunit ribosomal RNA
Source: RNAcentral
GACGAACGCUGGCGGCGUGCUUAACACAUGCAAGUCGAACGGUAAGGCUCAGCUUUUGUGGGGUGCUUGAGUGGCGAACGGGUGAGUAACACGUGAGUAACCUGCCCUCGACUUUGGGAUAACUUCAGGAAACUGGUGCUAAUACCGGAUAGGCGCUCCUCUUGGCUGGUGGGGGUUGGAAAGUUUCGGUGGUUGGGGAUGGUCUGGUGGCUUCUUAGCUUGUUGUUGGGGUGGUGGUUUACCACGGAGUUGACGGAUAGCCGGCCUGCGGGGAUGACCAGCGACAUAGGGACUGGGAUACUGCCCGGACUCCUACUGGGGACAGCAGUGGGAUAGGUUGAAGAAUGGUCGGAAGCCUGAUGCAGCAACACCGCGGGCGUGAUGAUGGCCUUCUGGUUGUAAACCGCUUACGCCUGUAACAAAGCGGGGGUGACGGUAGUGGGUAAAGAAGCACCGGCUAACUACGUG